GACUCUCGGCAACGGAUAUCUCGGCUCUCGCAUCGAUGAAGAACGUAGCGAAAUGCGAUACUUGGUGUGAAUUGCAGAAUCCCGUGAACCAUCGAGUCUUUGAACGCAAGUUGCGCCGAGGCUCCUGGUCGAGGGCACGUCUGCCUGGGUGUCA
RNAcentral lists this ribosomal RNA (154 nucleotides) under Salix viminalis (osier). It matches the Rfam family "5.8S ribosomal RNA". From Rfam's summary of the family: 5.8S ribosomal RNA (5.8S rRNA) is a component of the large subunit of the eukaryotic ribosome. It is transcribed by RNA polymerase I as part of the 45S precursor that also contains 18S and 28S rRNA. Lineage: Eukaryota; Viridiplantae; Streptophyta; Magnoliopsida; Malpighiales; Salicaceae. The record is from RNAcentral.